This is a long non-coding RNA of Poeciliopsis prolifica (blackstripe livebearer), 180 nucleotides long. RefSeq lists it as uncharacterized. The record is from RefSeq and is a predicted model, not a curated record. NCBI's taxonomy places the organism in Eukaryota, Metazoa, Chordata, Actinopteri, Cyprinodontiformes, Poeciliidae. The transcript has 3 exons.
CUUUAAGUAAUGGUGUUGGGGAUCUUGCACUUGCAAAUGAAGUAAAACAGGUUAUGGAUUUGGAUGACAACAGCAACAAUCCAAGCACCAGUGAAUGUGUCCCUGUCCAGAGCUCCUGUUACAGAGACUACACCAAUCUCUUUGAGCCCAUUGUUAUUGAUGAUGAUGAUGAUGAUGAUG